Molecule: long non-coding RNA, 831 nt
Organism: Humulus lupulus (European hop)
Lineage: Eukaryota; Viridiplantae; Streptophyta; Magnoliopsida; Rosales; Cannabaceae
Exons: 3
Source: RefSeq, a predicted model, not a curated record
CCCUCUGUACAUUUUCCCAUCUCUCUCACGAUCUAAUUGAUCUCCUAAUUGAUUUCUCAAACUUCUAUAUCUUUUUUAUUCUCUUAAUUUCUCUUAUCUUCCAUUUGAUUUCUCAAACUUCAAAUUGAUUUCCUAAUAUUAAUGGCAGCCCUAUGCAGAUGACAAUGCUUCUCAACGAUUUUGUUCUUCGGCGAUCAAUGGGGCAUUUCAUCAAUUUUUUUCUCUGAUGAUCUGUGGAACAUUUUGGAGAGUUUAUUCUCUAGUAAUCGACAUGGGAAUUUUUGUCGAAUUCGUUCUUUGGCUAACGACAAGAUUUGUUUCAGGUGCUUGAAGGUGGGAGACUAAUUAAGAUAUUCUGGUACAAAUGACUUUGAUGUUGAUUAUUAAUUAUGUCUGUGAAACGCACUCUAUUAUAAUCAUAAUGGUUGUUAACUUGCAUUGGGGACCAGUUCUCAUAACCAGGAUUAAUUUUCCUACUGUAGGUGAUCAAGAACCAUGAAUUGGAGUAAAAAUGCUUAAAAACUGCAUUAUGGUAUUAUGAGAUCAUCUAUCAGCGAGCACAUUUCUCUGUAUUUGGCAAUGUAAUUAUAUCCUAAAAAUGUUGGAAGCCUCUUGAAAUCAUAUAUAGGCACAUUAUACUGUGGGAAUUUUUUUCUUUCCUUUCUAUGAAUUAAAUUAUUUAAAAUUUUUCUUUUUUUUUAUCACUAUAAAUUUUAAAAUCAAGAUAUUCCUCUAUUUAAAAUUAGUUCUCUCUCUGUUCUCAUUUUUAUCAAUUUUACAUAUCACAUUUUUUAGGAACUCUGAUUACAUUAAAAAUUUGUGUUUUGUUUU